This 805-nucleotide ribosomal RNA is filed under the name uncultured fungus. Its description in RNAcentral is "eukaryotic LSU rRNA". The stretch from base 502 to 805 matches the Rfam family "Eukaryotic large subunit ribosomal RNA", at positions 1 to 307 of the family's 3401-position model. Lineage: Eukaryota; Fungi. The record is from RNAcentral.
GUGACCUGCGGAAGGAUCAUUAAAGUUAUAGUCCCCUGGCCCUCUGGGCUGGGGUCUUCUAUACCACCCUUUGUUUAUUACACCUUUGUUGCUUUGGCAGGCCUGCCCUCGGGCUGCUGGCUCCGGCCGGCUCGCGUCUGCCAGAGGACCUAAACUCUGUUUGUAUAUGAAGUCUGAGUACUAUAUAAUAGUUAAAACUUUCAACAACGGAUCUCUUGGUUCUGGCAUCGAUGAAGAACGCAGCGAAAUGCGAUAAGUAAUGUGAAUUGCAGAAUUCAGUGAAUCAUCGAAUCUUUGAACGCACAUUGCGCCCCCUGGUAUUCCGGGGGGCAUGCCUGUUCGAGCGUCAUUACAACCCUCAAGCUCUGCUUGGUGUUGGGCCCCGCCGCCCCGGCGGGCCCUAAAAUCAGUGGCGGUGCCGUCCGGCUCCGAGCGUAGUAAUUCUUCUCGCUCUGGAGGUCCGGGUGUGUGCUCGCCAGCAACCCCCAAUUUUUUUCAGGUUGACCUCGGAUCAGGUAGGGAUACCCGCUGAACUUAAGCAUAUCAAUAAGCGGAGGAAAAGAAACCAACAGGGAUUACCUCAGUAACGGCGAGUGAAGCGGUAACAGCUCAAAUUUGAAAUCUGGCCUCACGGUCCGAGUUGUAAUUUGUAGAGGAUGCUUCGAGCAUGGUCUGGCCUAAGUUCCUUGGAACAGGACGUCAUAGAGGGUGAGAAUCCCGUAUGCGGUCAGUGCCUACGCUCAUGUGAAGCUCCUUCGACGAGUCGAGUUGUUUGGGAAUGCAGCUCAAAUGGGUGGUAAAUUUC